Long non-coding RNA from Apis laboriosa (Himalayan honeybee), 289 nucleotides. RefSeq lists it as uncharacterized. Lineage: Eukaryota; Metazoa; Arthropoda; Insecta; Hymenoptera; Apidae. The record is from RefSeq and is a predicted model, not a curated record. The transcript has 4 exons.
UUGAAUUGGCGCUAUGGUCGGUGCAAAAUGAAAAUUCAUCCAUUGACGAAGUUUGUUUUAAGACGCAUAAAUGGGCUCCUUCUGUCUUCCCUGCCACCCUUUGUGCAUUUAAAUGAAGAUAUCUUUAUCGAAAACAGGUUUUUUCAGGACCUGGCUAGGAACAGAAUGGACAGGUCGACAGGUAAAGAUGCAGGAUCCUGUCUCGCGCGCCAUCAUGCAUUCACAGUUCGAUCAUUGGCUCAAGUUUGCACGUAUUGCCGUAACCACUGUCUCGUUGUCUUCCUACGCG